Molecule: ribosomal RNA, 253 nt
Filed under: uncultured bacterium
Lineage: Bacteria
Description: partial 16S ribosomal RNA
Rfam family: Archaeal small subunit ribosomal RNA
Source: RNAcentral
UACCAGCACCCCGAGUGGUCGGGACGAUUAUUGGGCCUAAAGCAUCCGUAGCCGGCCUUACAAGUCCUCCGUUAAAUCCAGCUGCUUAACAGAUGGGCUGCGGAGGAUACUAUAAGACUAGGAGGCAGGAGAGGCAAGCGGUACUCAGUGGGUAGGGGUAAAAUCCAUUGAUCCAUUGAAGACCACCAGUGGCGAAGGCGGCUUGCCAGAAUGCGCUCGACGGUGAGGGAUGAAAGCUGGGGGAGCAAACCGG